GUAGGGAAUCUUCCGCAAUGGACGAAAGUCUGACGGAGCAACGCCGCGUGAGUGAAGAAGGCCUUCGGGUCGUAAAACUCUGUUGCCGGGGAAGAACAAGUGCCGUUCGAACAGGGCGGCGCCUUGACGGUACCCGGCCAGAAAGCCACGGCUAACUACGUGCCAGCAGCCGCGGUAAUACGUAGGUGGCAAGCGUUGUCCGGAAUUAUUGGGCGUAAAGCGCGCGCAGGCGGCUUCUUAAGUCUGAUGUGAAAUCUUGCGGCUCAACCGCAAGCGGUCAUUGGAAACUGGGAGGCUUGAGUGCAGAAGAGGAGAGUGGAAUUCCACGUGUAGCGGUGAAAUGCGUAGAGAUGUGGAGGAACACCAGUGGCGAAGGCGGCUCUCUGGUCUGUAACUGACGCUGAGGCGCGAAAGCGUGGGGAGCAAACAGGAUUAGAAACCCCAGUAGUCC
Molecule: ribosomal RNA, 451 nt
Filed under: uncultured bacterium
Lineage: Bacteria
Description: bacterial SSU rRNA
Rfam family: Bacterial small subunit ribosomal RNA
Source: RNAcentral